GCACUUGUAGUUCAGCGUUAGAACGUCGGUCUUGUAAACCGUAGGACGGAGGUUAAAUUCCUCCCUGAUGCU
RNAcentral lists this transfer RNA (72 nucleotides) under Bathyanthias cubensis. RNAcentral describes it as "tRNA-Thr". It matches the Rfam family "tRNA". Rfam says of the family: Transfer RNA (tRNA) molecules are approximately 80 nucleotides in length. The record is from RNAcentral. Lineage: Eukaryota; Metazoa; Chordata; Actinopteri; Perciformes; Serranidae.